Non-coding RNA from Macaca mulatta (Rhesus monkey), 243 nucleotides. The record is from RefSeq and is a predicted model, not a curated record. Lineage: Eukaryota; Metazoa; Chordata; Mammalia; Primates; Cercopithecidae.
GCUGGAGUAGGCGCGCUGAGAGGCCCAUAAAAUCUCUGCCUGCAAUUCCCUGCCGCCAUAUGCUCCAAGAGGUGUUUGUUCGGCAUUUCUUCAGUUUCAGGCUGAUCUUUAGAACUGGACUGGAAUUGUACUUUCCUGGAUCUCCAGCUUGCAGAUGGCAGAUUGUGGAACUUCUCGGCCUGCACAAUCGUUCCUGGCCCUGCAUUCCAGAAACCUAGAAAUUCACAGAAGACUUGUCUGUGG